This 55-nucleotide ribosomal RNA is filed under the name Oncorhynchus gorbuscha (pink salmon). Its description in RNAcentral is "partial 5.8S ribosomal RNA". The record is from RNAcentral. Lineage: Eukaryota; Metazoa; Chordata; Actinopteri; Salmoniformes; Salmonidae.
AAUGAAAAAACAAGAGUACAACUCUUAGCGGUGGAUCACUCGGCUUGAAUCACUA